CCCGACUUAGCUAAGUGGUUACGGCGGGGGACUGUAGAUCCCUUUCUCCCCGGUUCGAGUCCGGGAGUCGGGACCA
Molecule: transfer RNA, 76 nt
Filed under: Methanobacteriota archaeon
Lineage: Archaea; Methanobacteriati; Methanobacteriota
Description: Euryarchaeota archaeon (sediment metagenome) tRNA-Tyr
Rfam family: tRNA
About the family: Transfer RNA (tRNA) molecules are approximately 80 nucleotides in length. Their secondary structure includes four short double-helical elements and three loops (D, anti-codon, and T loops). Further hydrogen bonds mediate the characteristic L-shaped molecular structure. tRNAs have two regions of fundamental functional importance: the anti-codon, which is responsible for specific mRNA codon recognition, and the 3' end, to which the tRNAs corresponding amino acid is attached (by aminoacyl-tRNA synthetases). tRNAs cope with the degeneracy of the genetic code in two manners: having more than one tRNA (with a specific anti-codon) for a particular amino acid; and 'wobble' base-pairing, i.e. permitting non-standard base-pairing at the 3rd anti-codon position.
Source: RNAcentral